AAGAGGAGGAGGAGGAGGAGGAGGAAGGGGAACUUGAAACAGAAAAUAAAAUAAUCAAAAUAAUCAAUGUAUAUAUAAAUUUCCAUAUGGCUUGUUUAGGUUAUUUUUGUUACUGAAAGAAAAGGUUUGAAAUGUUAAUAUAUAUGUAAGAAGUGUGGCUUAGUACUUUGAAAAUAUAUAAUAAUAAUAAUAAUAAUAAAAACUUGAAACAUAAUAAAAUAAUCUGUAUAUAUAAAUUUGCAUAUGACUUGUUUAGGUUAUAUUUGUGUUACUGAAAGAAAAGUUUUGAAAUGGAAAUAAUAUAAACAGUUUGAGGCAGAGAAUGGAGUUUGAUAUCCCUGAAGCAAAUGAUCAAGCCAGCCUCUCUCACACACACACACACACACACACACACACACACACACACACACACACACACACACAC
Molecule: long non-coding RNA, 424 nt
Organism: Eriocheir sinensis (Chinese mitten crab)
Lineage: Eukaryota; Metazoa; Arthropoda; Malacostraca; Decapoda; Varunidae
Exons: 2
Source: RefSeq, a predicted model, not a curated record